This 252-nucleotide ribosomal RNA is filed under the name uncultured prokaryote. RNAcentral describes it as "partial 16S ribosomal RNA". It matches the Rfam family "Bacterial small subunit ribosomal RNA", at positions 526 to 777 of the family's 1533-position model. The record is from RNAcentral.
CGAAGGGUGCAAGCGUUACUCGGAAUUACUGGGCGUAAAGGGUGCGUAGGUGGUUUUUUAAGUCUGCUGUGAAAUCCCCGGGCUCAACCUGGGAAUGGCGAUGGAUACUGGCGAGCUAGAGUGUGUCAGAGGAUGGUGGAAUUCCCGGUGUAGCGGUGAAAUGCGUAGAGAUCGGGAGGAACACCUGUGGCGAAAGCGGCGCACUGGACCAUAACUGACGCUGAGGCGCGAAAGCUAGGGGAGCAAACAGGA